UCUAAGACAAUAGUUGUAGAACAUCUCAUAAAUGAAAACAUAACGUUGUAGAGUCAAUUUUUGCCCGUGGGGCAUAAUUUGUAGUUUGAAAGUAUUUGAGUUAAGUCUUGCCUCUAAGGCAAUAGUUGUAGAGCAUCUCAUAAAUGAAAACAUAACGUGGUAGAGUCAACUCUUGCCCGUGGGGUAUAAUUUGUUGUUUGAAAGUCCCUGA
RNAcentral lists this long non-coding RNA (211 nucleotides) under Capsicum annuum. RNAcentral describes it as "long non-coding RNA (CANN_LNC013629)". Lineage: Eukaryota; Viridiplantae; Streptophyta; Magnoliopsida; Solanales; Solanaceae. The record is from RNAcentral.